This is an RNA transcript of Felis catus (domestic cat), 2845 nucleotides long. It is a transcript of the gene named proline-serine-threonine phosphatase interacting protein 2, with no coding region annotated. Lineage: Eukaryota; Metazoa; Chordata; Mammalia; Carnivora; Felidae. The transcript has 16 exons. The record is from RefSeq and is a predicted model, not a curated record.
UUUGGUAUUUUCCUCAUGUUUAGGCUGAAGUUAUGGGCUUUUGGGUGGAAGACCACGGACAUAGAGCACCAUUUUUGUCAUGUGAUAUCAAAGAGCUCAGACAUCCUCAGCACCGCCGGCUACGACAGCAUCAUCCAGCACCUGAACAACGGCCGCAAGAACUGCAAAGAAUUUGAAGACUUUUUAAAAGAAAGGGCAUCAAUUGAAGAGAAAUACGGCAAAGACCUGCUAAACCUCUCCAGGAAGAAGCCGUGUGGACAGUUGGAGAUCAACACCCUGAAGCAGGCCCUUGAAGUCUUCAAGAAGCAGGUAGACAGUGUGGCACAAUGUCACAUUCAGCUUGCCCAGACUCUAAGAGACGAGGCCAGGAAGAUGGAAGAAUUCAGGGAAAAGCAAAAGCUACAACGGAAAAAGACGGAGCUCAUAAUGGAUGCUGCCCAUAAACAAAGGAGCUUACAGUUCAAGAAAACUAUGGAUGCAAAGAAGACCUAUGUGCAGAAAUGCCGGGACAAAGACGAAGCAGAGCAGGCUGUCCACCGGAGCGCCAAUGUGGUGAACCCGAGGCAGCAAGAAAAGCUUUUCGUGAAACUGGCAACUUCGAAGACUGCAGUCGAAGACUCAGACAAGGCGUACAUGAUGCACAUCAACACUCUGGACAAAGUCCGCGAAGACUGGCAGAUCGAGCACAUCAAGGCCUGUGAGAUGUUCGAAGCUCAAGAAUGUGAACGAAUAAACUUCUUUCGGAAUGCCUUGUGGUUACACAUGAAUCAGCUGUCACAACAAUGUGUCACUAGUGAUGAGAUGUAUGAAGAAGUCCGUAAGAGCUUAGAGGCAUGCAGCAUUGAGAAGGACAUUGAGUACUUUGUGAACCAACAAAAAACUGGACAGACUCCACCAGCACGCAUUGUGUAUGAGAAUUUCUACUGCCCCCAGAAGAAUACAGCCCCACAGGGAAAGGCUCCAGGGCCCAACUUACCAAGGAGAGGACCUCUCCCAGUUCCUAAAAGUUUACCAGAUAACCCUGAUUAUUCUUUGAUUGAUAACUACAGUCUGAUCUAUCAGUAACAUCAGUGGCUCCCUUUUUCUCAUGAAAAGAGGCACGGCCCAUAUUAGAGGUAGAAAGGGACAUGGGGAAUCAGUGACUUGGGACUCCAAGGCGAAAUCCGCCCUCUGGAACAACACCAUGGAGGUGAUGGCUGCAGAAAACAAACCUUUUUCGGGCCGGUGCUUCUACAGCGUGGGAGGAGGCACUCAGAACAGCAGAAUCCUUAGCCAAACUGUGUCAGUCGUGAAACUUCCAAGUGAAACCUUGCUGUAAUUUUUUUUGUAUUUUAAAUUCAUUGUAGACAUUUAGAUCAACUUAGGCUAGUUAAGUUCUGAAAUUCUUAGGAGAAGUUUACAAAUUGCCCCAGACUGAAGAAUCAUUCUUUCCUAGGCGGUUACUAACGUUGUGAGUGAAUUGUGUUGUCUCCUUGGUCUCUGGAUUUGGAGCCCUGACUCUUGUUGUGGGGGGGCAGAGGUGGCUGCAGAGGGGUGUGAGCCAUGAACCUGGAGGGGCUUCUUUGGCUCCGGGGGCAGCUUGGCUGUAGAAUGUUCACCGCAGCACGUGCCCUCGGUGGUGCACCAUUUCAAAUCACCUUCCUUUUUGGCUGGAAGACUUGGAGGCCAUCUAAUUAUACUUUCUCAUUUUACAGAUGAGGAAAUGGGGCCCAGAAGUGUGAAAUCAAUUUCCUUACGGAUUAGGGACAGAAUCCAAACUGGAGUGUAAGCUCACCUCACGUUACCAUUCUGAGUGAUCCUUCCUCAGGCCAUUGGUGCUUGUGUUGAAAUUUCAGACGCCGAAUGUUUUUUGCCGGCGUCUUUCCAGUUGGGAAAAUAACCAGGGUUUAAAUGUCAGAUUUAUUUUUAUGGGAGUGCCUGUGUGUCCUGAACUUCUAGAGCACCAUAUUUAAUUUAAUCUAAGAAGCCACUGAUUAUAAGGCAUGGCCAUUAUUUUACACACCACUGAGCAAGUUAGGUGAGGGAGUUGACGUUCUCAGUGGGGGCAGAAUUACUCAUAAAGGGGUGAAAAUUGGGACAGUUAAGGGUUAAGCCCAUUUAAAUUUGAUUUGCUAAACUGAGGCGGGGGGAAGUACAUCCUAGAGUCAGUGCAAUAGGGUAUUUGGACCUCAAUUCCUAAAGAGAAUUCGAGAGCUCCAAAGCCAGUCCUCAGUCCUGGGUCUUCACAGAAAAUCUUUGCCUUGCUAGCUCCUAGAACUUUUUAAAGCGUCAGUCUUACCCUUUCGCAGGUAUUUGAGUCUUUCUUCUUGUUACCCACAAACAGCAGGGAGACAAUGUCCCUUUUGUGUAAUAUCCACACGCCAUGAGAAAAUGGUGCAUUUUAGUUAAUGACAAAUUAAACUAGCACUGGUACUUAUUCAGUAUGUUGUUGGCCUUGUAACACAUAUUUUCUUCUCCUGCUCUAUGCAGUAGCUUUCUCAGAACUGUGCACAAAUUGACUGAAACAAGAUUGAUUAUUUCCCACCCUUUAAGGUGUUACUGAAAGUGGCAGCUUCUCCUCAUGACAGGAAGCUUGCAUCAAUUGGAUAUCCUUUUGAGAAACUGAAGUUUGCAAAGGGCCAUUGACUUCCCCAAACUGAGCAGGCUCAGGACAUUUCCUUCAAGCUCAGAACAUUCUAAUUUUUAGGUAUUUUAUUUAUUGUUCACAAUUCCUCAGGGAUUUCACUUUUCUCUCUUUUGGUCAGUGCAAUCGCUGUAAAUGUGUUUUAUGAGUUGAAAAUACUUUUAUUUUAUUGCUCUUUCAGUUUGAUAUGAAGUAAAAUAAAGGUUCCUUGGAGAUUUAGGA